UGGGGAAUCUUCCGCAAUGGACGAAAGUCUGACGGAGCAACGCCGCGUGAGUGAUGACGGUCUUCGGAUUGUAAAGCUCUGUUAAUCGGGACGAAUGGUUUGUGUGCAAAUAGUGCAUAGACAUGACGGUACCGGAAUAGAAAGCCACGGCUAACUACGUGCCAGCAGCCGCGGUAAUACGUAGGUGGCAAGCGUUGUCCGGAAUUAUUGGGCGUAAAGCGCGCGCAGGCGGACUAGCCAGUCAGUCUUAAAAGUUCGGGGCUUAACCCCGUGAUGGGAUUGAAACUACUAGUCUAGAGUAUCGGAGAGGAAAGUGGAAUUCCUAGUGUAGCGGUGAAAUGCGUAGAUAUUAGGAAGAACACCAGUGGCUAAGGCGACUUUCUGGACGAACACUGACGCUGAGGCGCGAAAGCCAGGGGAGCGAACGGG
This 429-nucleotide ribosomal RNA is filed under the name Bacteroidota bacterium. RNAcentral describes it as "Bacteroidetes bacterium partial 16S ribosomal RNA". It matches the Rfam family "Bacterial small subunit ribosomal RNA", at positions 355 to 776 of the family's 1533-position model. Lineage: Bacteria; Pseudomonadati; Bacteroidota. The record is from RNAcentral.